Molecule: RNA transcript, 1370 nt
Organism: Oncorhynchus keta (chum salmon)
Lineage: Eukaryota; Metazoa; Chordata; Actinopteri; Salmoniformes; Salmonidae
Gene name: aggrecan core protein-like
Exons: 3
Source: RefSeq, a predicted model, not a curated record
CAUGCACACACACACUCAGGUCAUGUGUGUUGGCUUUGUUGCCCUUUCUGAUUGUAUAGCUGUAGUAGUAUGCUUUCUCCAGGUACAGCAGAGACAGGAGAUAGCAGGAGACAGGAAACAUCAGGAGACAUCAGGAGACAUCAGGAGACACCAGGAGACACCAGGAGACAUCAGGAGACAGCAGGAGACAGCAGGAGACAACAGGAGACAUCAGGAGACACCAGGAGACACCAGGAGACACCAGGAGACACCAGGAGACAACAGGAGACAUCAGGAGACACCAGGAGACACCAGGAGACAACAGGAGACACCAGGAGACACCAGGAGACACCAGGAGACACCAGGAGACAUCAGGAGACACCAGGAGACACCAGGAGACAUCAGGAGACAGGAGACACCAGGAGACAUCAGGAGACACCAGGAGACACCAGGAGACACCAGGAGACACCAGGAGACACCAGGAGACACCAGGAGACACUAGGAGACAUCAGGAGACACACCAGGAGACACCAGGAGACACUAGGAGACACUAGGAGACAACAGGAGACAACAGGAGACACCAGGAGACACCAGGAGACAUCAGGAGACACCAGGAGACAUCAGGAGACACCAGGAGACACCAGGAGACAUCAGGAGACACCAGGAGACACCAGGAGACAUCAGGAGACACCAGGAGACACCAGGAGACAUCAGGAGACAACAGGAGACAACAGGAGACAUCAGGAGACACCAGGAGACAUCAGGAGACACCAGGAGACACCAGGAGACACCAGGAGACAACAGGAGACACCAGGAGACACCAGGAGACACCAGGAGACACCAGGAGACACCAGGAGACAACAGGAGACACCAGGAGACACCAGGAGACACCAGGAGACAUCAGGAGAUAGAGGAAGGUAUCCAAACUGCAGACCGAUGACGUCUCCAUGAGACUGCAAGACGGAAGUCUCCAAACUGCAAUGUGGGAGCCACCAGGCUGCAGUAGGUAAGUUCUCUACCAGGCCUGAAGACAAAGGCUUCCAGUGGGGAGCUGUCAGAGGGAGGUCUCCAAAGCUGCAGAGGUCUCCACCAGCCAGCUGCUGGCCACUAGAGGGAGGUCUCCACCAGCCAGCUGCAGGCCACUAGAGGGAGGUCUCCAAAGCUGCAGAGGUCUCCACCAGCCAGCUGCAGGCCACUAGAGGGAGGUCUCCAAAGCUGCAGAGGUCUCCACCAGCCAGCUGCAGGCCACUAGAGGGAGGUCUCCAGACUGUGCAGUGGGCUGGCUGGGCCGGAGGAUGCAGCUGAUUUACUGGUGGUGUCGAUGGUGAGGUUGAUGCCGCUGUCGACGGCGUUGUUGUUCUUGUUGGGGGACUGGGGCUGGCUGCCUGUCU